GUCAAGUCAUCAUGGCCCUUAUGUCCAGGGCUACACACGUGCUACAAUGGGCGGUACAAAGCGGAGCGAGCCCGCGAGGGUCAAGCGAAACGCCGAAAGCCGCCCGUAGUCCGGAUUGAAGUCUGAAACCCGACUUCAUGAAGCUGGAAUCGCUAGUAAUCGCGCAUCAGCAUGGCGCGGUGAAUACGUUCCCGGGCCUU
This 200-nucleotide ribosomal RNA is filed under the name uncultured prokaryote. Its description in RNAcentral is "partial 16S ribosomal RNA". It matches the Rfam family "Bacterial small subunit ribosomal RNA", at positions 1184 to 1382 of the family's 1533-position model. The record is from RNAcentral.